AUCAAAAGAGGAAGAAAUUCAGAUGAUGUUCAUUAAUUUCCUACCCUUAAAAUCUCCUUUCUGUGGAUUACUAUGUGUGAAGAAUGGUUACUUCUGCCUCUACUUGUGCUAGGGUUACCUGACAAGCUUCAUUACCUACAAGGAGAAAGCCCUGGCAAAACUCUGAGAGACUGCUUGAACACAAGAAACUAGUGUCUUUAUAUAUAUACCCUACACGAGAAGAAUCAUUCUCAUCAACUGGAUGAGCAAACUAGUACAGUUUGUUAGUCUUUUCACAUCUGUUUGUCUUUUCACAUAAGGCAUUGACAGUUGCAUUUCUGAAGGAUUGUUGCUGACAAAUGGGAG
Molecule: long non-coding RNA, 345 nt
Filed under: Phasianus colchicus (ring-necked pheasant)
Lineage: Eukaryota; Metazoa; Chordata; Aves; Galliformes; Phasianidae
Description: lncRNA (ENSPCLG00000020484.1)
Source: RNAcentral